GUUGUAUAGUCAAGUAAUUAAGUGCAUGUGGUGGAUGCCUUGGCAGUCAGAGGCGAUGAAAGACGUGAUAGCCUGCGAAAAGCUCCGGGGAGGCGGCAAAUAUCCUUUGAUCCGGAGAUGUCUGAAUGGGGGAACCCACCUACUUUAAGGUAGGUAUUGCAACAUGAAUACAUAGUGUUGCAAGGCGAACGAGGGGAAGUGAAACAUCUCAGUACCCUUAGGAAAAGAAAUCAAUUGAGAUUCCCUCAGUAGCGGCGAGCGAACGGGGAUCAGCCCAUUAAGUUAUGUGUGUUUUAGUGGAACGCUCUGGGAAGUGCGAACGUAGAGGGUGAUAUUCCCGUACACGAAAGGGCACACAUAAUGAUGACGAGUAGGGCGAGGCACGUGAAACCUUGUCUGAAUAUGGGGGGACCAUCCUCCAAGGCUAAAUACUCCUGACUGACCGAUAGUGAACCAGUACCGUGAGGGAAAGGCGAAAAGAACCCCUGUGAGGGGAGUGAAAUAGAUCCUGAAACCGCAUGCAUACAAGCAGUGGGAGCACCUUCGUGGUGUGACUGCGUACCUUUUGUAUAAUGGGUCAGCGACUUAUAUUCAGUAGCAAGGUUAACCGUAUAGGGGAGCCGUAGAGAAAUCGAGUCUUAAUAGGGCGUUUAGUUGCUGGGUAUAGACCCGAAACCAGGCGAUCUAUCCAUGAGCAGGUUGAAGGUUGGGUAACACUAACUGGAGGACCGAACCCACUGUCGUUGAAAAGCCAGGGGAUGACUUGUGGAUAGGGGUGAAAGGCUAAUCAAGCCUGGUGAUAGCUGGUUCUCCCCGAAAGCUAUUUAGGUAGCGCCUCGGACGAAUACCAUAGGGGGUAGAGCACUGUUUCGGCUAGGGGGUCAUCCCGACUUACCAAACCGAUGCAAACUCCGAAUACCUAUGAGUACUAUCCGGGAGACAGACUGCGGGUGCUAACGUCCGUAGUCAAGAGGAAAACAAUCCAGACCGCCAGCUAAGGCCCCAAAAUCAUAGUUAAGUGGGAAACGAUGUGGGAAGGCAUAGACAGCUAGGAGGUUGGCUUAGAAGCAGCCACCCUUUAAAGAAAGCGUAAUAGCUCACUAGUCGAGUCGGCCUGCGCGGAAGAUGUAACGGGGCUAAAACUAUGUGCCGAAGCUGCGGAUGUAUGCUGGAGGUAUCAGAAGUGCGAAUGCUGACGUGAGUAACGACAAAACGGGUGAAAAACCCGUUCGCCGAAAGACCAAGGGUUCCAGUCCAACGUUAAUCGGGGCUGGGUGAGUCGACCCCUAAGGCGAGGCCGAAAGGCGUAGUCGAUGGGAAAAUGGUUAAUAUUCCAUUACUUCUGUGUAAUGCGAUGAGAGGACGGAGAAGGCUAAAUCAGCCUGGCGUUGGUUGUCCAGGUGAAAGGAUGUAGGCAUGUAUCUUAGGCAAAUCCGGGGUACUCUAUGCUGAGAUCUGAUAGCAAGCUGUACUUGUACAGCGAAGUGGUUGAUGCCAUGCUUCCAGGAAAAGUCUCUAAGCUUCAGUUACACAGGAAUCGUACCCGAAACCGACACAGGUGGUCAGGUCGAGUAGACCAAGGCGCUUGAGAGAACUCUGCUGAAGGAACUAGGCAAAAUGGUACCGUAACUUCGGGAGAAGGUACGCUGUUGUUGGUGAUGGAACUCGCUUCCUGAGCUGACGACAGCCGCAGAAACCAGGCCGCUGCAACUGUUUAUUAAAAACAUAGCACUCUGCAAACACGAAAGUGGACGUAUAGGGUGUGAUGCCUGCCCGGUGCUGGAAGGUUAAUUGAUGGGGUUAGCGUAAGCGAAGCUCUUGAUCGAAGCCCCAGUAAACGGCGGCCGUAACUAUAACGGUCCUAAGGUAGCGAAAUUCCUUGUCGGGUAAGUUCCGACCUGCACGAAUGGCAUAAUGAUGGCGGCGCUGUCUCCAGCAGAGGCUCAGUGAAAUCGAAAUCGCUGUGAAGAUGCAGUGUACCCGCGGCUAGACGGAAAGACCCCGUGAACCUUUACUGCAGCUUGACACUGAACUUUGACCUUACUUGUGUAGGAUAGGUGGGAGGCUUUGAAGCUGGAACGCUAGUUCCAGUGGAGCCGUCCUUGAAAUACCACCCUGGUAAUGUUGAGGUUCUAACUCUGUCCCGUGAUCCGGGACGAGGACCGUGUCUGGUGGGUAGUUUGACUGGGGCGGUCUCCUCCUAAAGAGUAACGGAGGAGUACGAAGGUGCGCUCAGCGUGGUCGGAAAUCACGCGUAGAGUAUAAAGGCAAAAGCGCGCUUAACUGCGAGACCCACAAGUCGAGCAGGUACGAAAGUAGGUCUUAGUGAUCCGGUGGUUCUGUAUGGAAGGGCCAUCGCUCAACGGAUAAAAGGUACUCUGGGGAUAACAGGCUGAUACCGCCCAAGAGUUCAUAUCGACGGCGGUGUUUGGCACCUCGAUGUCGGCUCAUCUCAUCCUGGGGCUGAAGCAGGUCCCAAGGGUAUGGCUGUUCGCCAUUUAAAGAGGUACGCGAGCUGGGUUUAGAACGUCGUGAGACAGUUCGGUCCCUAUCUACCGUGGGCGCUGGAAAUUUGAGAGGAUCUGCUCCUAGUACGAGAGGACCAGAGUGGACGAACCUCUGGUGUACCGGUUGUGACGCCAGUCGCAUCGCCGGGUAGCUAUGUUCGGAAGGGAUAACCGCUGAAAGCAUCUAAGCGGGAAGCCUACCUCAAGAUAAGAUUUCCCUAGGACUUUAUGUCCUCUAAAGAGCCGUUCGAGACUAGGACGUUGAUAGGUUGGAUGUGGAAGCAUAGUGAUAUGUGAAGCUGACCAAUACUAAUUGCUCGUGAGGCUUGACUAUACAACACCCAAGCAGUUG
RNAcentral lists this ribosomal RNA (2859 nucleotides) under Acinetobacter baumannii. RNAcentral's name for it is "bacterial LSU rRNA". It matches the Rfam family "Bacterial large subunit ribosomal RNA". The record is from RNAcentral. Lineage: Bacteria; Pseudomonadati; Pseudomonadota; Gammaproteobacteria; Moraxellales; Moraxellaceae.